RNAcentral lists this small RNA (28 nucleotides) under Bombyx mori (domestic silkworm). RNAcentral describes it as "ovarian small RNA-14205". Lineage: Eukaryota; Metazoa; Arthropoda; Insecta; Lepidoptera; Bombycidae. The record is from RNAcentral.
CGACGUUCUGCAACCUUUCUUCCAGUGU